CAGACUUUCUCUCUUUCCCUCCUUUGUAAUUAGCCAACCAAACACAGGAUGGAUUGAAUCCUCCCUUUCCCUCCCUUUCCUUCCAACCAAACAUGCCCUUAACCCUCCAAUGUCGUCAUCUUAAAUACCUAAAUUUAAAAGAGAAUGGCCGUCGUCCGAGAAUCUAAGCGCCCAAUUCUUCAACAGCGACUGGCUCCCAGAAAUCCGCCGUGGAGGCAAUACGUGCGAUAAUCUGCCUGACUUCUGCCCGUUCUAAUUUGUGCUUUCAGAUUGUCUCUGUUCGUGGUGAUUUCGGUUCUUUUCCUUCUUUUGUUUGAGUUAUAUUUGUUGAUGGGCCGAUAAUGUUGUUGAUGGGCCGAUAAUGUUGUUUGGUCCAGAAGUGAAGGAAUUUCUCCGGUUUGUUUGGGGAAUUCUCCACAAGGUUUCCCGUUUUCCUGAAUGUGCUGGUGUUUCUCUUCGUAGAUUUCAACGCUAGCUUCUCCUCAUUUCUUGUAAUAUUCACAUCAAUUUCAGUACAACCAGGAUUCUGGGAUUCUCCUUUGGUUAUGUCUCGUUUUCCCAAUUUCCAUGAAAUAUUGAGAAAAACUGGAACCUCUGUCGUCUUCGUCCUUUUAUUUUCCCUUCUCAAUGUUGCUUUUCUCCCAAAAUGCAACAACCUCGACUGAGAAGUCUAAAUAGAUUUGCUGUGUUAAUUCUGGCGGGUUCAUUCCGAACAGAGGUGCCAUGGUCCUCUACUUUCUCAGUAUUUAAUGGUGGAUUCAAAGAGGCAGAAGCCAUUGGUCAUUAGUUGUACAUCCCAAGAAGCAUAUCAAAGGCGUCUUACGGAGUUAUGUCUGACGAACCAGACCAGGAUCCUUUCUCUUAGAAGCACAUCUUCGGAAUCAGUGAAGACCGUCUUGAAGGAAGUCUGGUGUUGGUCUCCACAGCAGUUUUAGCUCCAUGAAGCCUCCCAGACGCAUUCUCGAGGCGGUUAGCCUUUGUUUCAAUAUAUGUUAACGUAGUUCAUUCUUGGUUAAUUGAGUUUUGGGCCAUUUUUUCGUUCCAUUAUUUCCCUUUUGGAGUGGUGAUGGCCUACCUCGUUUUAGUUGCUCAGUCUGCAGAAACUCUAGAUGCACCGACCUUCUGGAUGAUUUCUGUCUAAAUCUUCUCGACUGGAGCAGCAGCAACAUUGUAACAAUUGCUUUUGGGCAUUCCAUAUUUAUCUGGAAUGCAUCAGAUGGGACCGCACCUGAGUUGAUGUCCAGAAUGGCCUAUUUAUAAGCAUCAGUUGGGCUCCUCAUGGCAGGCAUAUUGCUAUUGGUCUCAAUUCUCAACAAUUCAGCAGUUCCUUGUGGCAUGCAUCAGUAGCUAAGCAGGUUUGGCUCGCCGUCUUCGGGUUUUCAAUGUGGUGUUCUGCUAGUAAGCAACGCUAUUUUGAGUUCUCCAUUGAGAAGAAAACAGCACAAAAAAAGUAAAGGAUUCAGGGACCUUUUUGCUUCUAUCUUUUGAAACAACUGGUUCCCCUGGAUAUUUUUUAGGAAUGAAGUUUUCCUUUUGAUUGGUUGGGUGAUAAGAAUAAUUCUUGGCUUAAAGUAGGACACGCUUUUUAUGAACGAGGAGUUUUGGGAAGAGGAGGCGUAACUAGCUUGUGUUCUUUACUGAAAUCUCGUAUCCCUUGCAAGUGGUAGAAGAGAUAGUUUCAUCUUUAAUUGGCAAAUAUAGUGCUCAUGACCAAGAAGCUUGUGGACUGAACUGGUGGAUCUCAGGCUGGCAAUUAGCCAGUGGAGGAAUUAAUGUCCUACUGUACAUAUGGGAUCGAGCAGCGGCAGCAAACCACUCUGCUAGAACACAGUGGCCGCAUAGAGCAAUGUGGUUUCCUGUUUGUAAUUUCUCUUGGGCUUUUGUUGUUACCUCUCUUUUUAUUGAUGAAAUAACCAUUGAUGUAGGCGCUCAAAUUUCUGAAGAGAGAACCCAAAGGACUGUUCUUUUUGUGGAAUCCUGCAUUAUCAAAACCAGUUCCAGAUUCAGUAGAUUCAGGUUGAUUUGAAUUGAAUCAGCAGCAAUCCUAUAUCACCUGACUUAGUUUUGCGCGUCUUCUUUUCCAAAUUUUGUGAUCAUUAUUUUUAUUUGUUGUUGUCAUGCUUAGUGACUUCGAAUCCAUAUUUUGUAGUUCCGAAUGCAUAUUUUGUAGUUCCGGAACAUGCUUGGGUGUCUCUUUUAGAUGUUCACUACUCUAAUUCAAUGUUUAGGUACUUAGUUUCAUGAUAUCAAUCACCACAUUAAAUGUGGUUGAUGUGGUAUUUUCAUAAUAUGUCUAGAAUAUAUUCUCUCAGAUAGUCAAGUUGUUCGUGUUAUUUCUGUACAUUUUUCCUAUCAAUACAUUUUGUUUCUGUUAUUUCAGCACAUUUGGGUUUAUUUGUUUUAUGUUGUCAAUCUUAUUUGCAGCCUUGUUGUCCCUUCUAGACUUGUUUUGCAGUAAGUUUCUUAUUUCAUCACAUUACUUUGUAGGGACCUCCUUUGCAACAGCUUGACAGGACACUUGGUUAGGCUGAAAGCCUGAAAUGCCCUCUUGUUUUUCCUGUUGGAAGGAAGCAGCCUAAGUGAGUCCUUCCUUGCGGUUGUUGAUUGUUGUUUUAUCCUUAAGUUCGUUGCAUGUGUUUAGCUAGGUUCACGAUAUGCUGAUGAGCUUUUGGGUACAAGAGUUGUGCAGGGCUCAUUUUUACAUUUAUUUUGCUAAUAGAAGGGACUCCCAUCCAAAUGGAUUAGUACUGAAUGCUGAUGCCUGUUCCUUUUUAACCUAUGCUACCUUAUCAGGCAUUUUUUAUAUCUUCCUACACUACUCAAAUAGCUACUGCACAAUUUAACGUUGAAGCAGUGAUGCCGAUGGUUCUAAUUGGCACCACUUCACCAGUAGGCACGUCAUUGUUCUUUUCAGACACUAUACACGCUAGAAAAUAGGGAUUUAGCAUUUUUAGCUGGAGUAUUAAUGCCAAAUCCCAGCAUAAUAUGGGUCGCUGGGUCUGGCUAUGGUGAGAAUGCAGUUCAGUCCAUGUGGAGCGAUUGAUAGUAUCUUUGCAAAAGGAAACCAAAUAGAAGAGCUUUUCACCAAUCUUUCUUCUGUGCACUUGACAAGGCUCCCUGAAGGCCUCCUCUCUCUUUGCUGGUUGUUGAAGGAUCUCCAAAGGUCCAAAGGUCUUUGCCUCAGAGAGAGACCUUUUCAAUCUUUAACAGGUUUUUUGACUAGUGUUGCUGCCCUUAUGUCAACUGCUUCAUCUGCUAGCCGCAAUCAUAACGUUAUGUUGGAUUAGCAUUGUAAAGAACAGAAGUUACCUACAUUAUAUCUUCUGGAUUGCAUUGCAGAGAACAUUGAUGGUGACUAUAUUAGGUAGUUUGCUAGUAUAUUUGCAGUUAAUUUAUGAGCAGCUACUUGCAAAUGCGUUUAUUGGUGAGCUACUGACACUAACUUUAUUUGCUGGUUGUUUUGGUGAUUAUGAUUUAGCUUUAUUGGUGGGAUUUGUGCUUCGUCUAUGAGCUGCAUUAGCCCAUGGUUGUAGCAUGCACAAACACUUGUUGCUUGAGAAUUCCAUCUUUCCGGCUUGCAUAUAUACUGCUGCGAUGGUAGCUUGUGGAUUCUUUGUAAGCUGUGACCAAAGAGUUAAAAUUUGUUGAUGUUUAUGGAGGUGGUGUGACUUGACAAUAAACAAUUACUUGGGCUUGGGCUGUUGGAGUGAGUGAAUGGUGAUUCUGGCUAACCAAAACUCACUCAGUUCAAUCAUAAGGUCCGUCAAACUAAUGCUACAUGAUAAAAAUGCAGAACAAGUCCUACAUAUGUUCGUAUAUCAGAUGGGUUUUCAAGCGCUGGAUACUUGUCUAUCUUCCUUUUGUUUCUCCUGAUCCAUUUCUGCUGUUGCAAGACUUCGCUUUGCUGCUUCCUUACCUUGCUCGACAGGUGAAGUUAAUUUGAUUGGCGGAGCAUAUUGAUUAUGAACGUUAUUCAGUCUUGCACAUGGACAGUAUAAUUGCUAUCCAGAAGCAUGACACCGGUUCAGCAACUAAAGUUCUUCGUAUAUCAAAGUAAAUCCGCAAAAGGGUGUUCUAUCAGAUUGAACUGAAGUGUAUCAUAAUUCACAGGUUUAUCAUGCAGGAUUGCUGGAAUUAUUUUUUUCUGCACGCAGUGGAAAAUGUGGAAUGUGUUUAAGAUCUACCCAUUUUUCUGAACUUUGAAAUUUUAACAUUUUUGUAAAUCUGAUGCUCACCUGAGGUAAUAAAACUGAUGUUUUAAUUUGCUCCA
Long non-coding RNA from Nymphaea colorata (pocket water lily), 4270 nucleotides. RefSeq lists it as uncharacterized. The transcript is spliced from 2 exons. NCBI's taxonomy places the organism in Eukaryota, Viridiplantae, Streptophyta, Magnoliopsida, Nymphaeales, Nymphaeaceae. The record is from RefSeq and is a predicted model, not a curated record.